RNAcentral lists this ribosomal RNA (465 nucleotides) under uncultured bacterium. Its description in RNAcentral is "bacterial SSU rRNA". It matches the Rfam family "Bacterial small subunit ribosomal RNA", at positions 331 to 793 of the family's 1533-position model. The record is from RNAcentral.
CCAGACUCCUACGGGAGGCAGCAGUGAGGAAUAUUGGUCAAUGGCCGAGAGGCUGAACCAGCCAAGUCGCGUGAGGGAAGACGGCCCUACGGGUUGUAAACCUCUUUUGUCGGGGAGCAAAGCGAACCACGUGUGGUUCAUUGAGAGUACCCGAAGAAAAAGCAUCGGCUAACUCCGUGCCAGCAGCCGCGGUAAUACGGAGGAUCCGAGCGUUAUCCGGAUUUAUUGGGUUUAAGGGGAGCGUAGGCGGGUUGUUAAGUCAGUUGUGAAAGUUUGCGGCUCAACCGUAAAAUUGCAGUUGAUACUGGCAUCCUUGAGUACAGUAGAGGUAGGCGGAAUUCGUGGUGUAGCGGUGAAAUGCUUAGAUAUCACGAAGAACUCCGAUUGCGAAGGCAGCCUGCUGGACUGUAACUGACGCUGAUGCUCGAAAGUGUGGGUAUCGAACAGGAUUAGAUACCCCAGUAC